AAAAACAAUUUAAUGCUUUAUAAAAAGUUAGAAGCUUUUUUAAAAUUAUUUCUUU
This 55-nucleotide transfer RNA is filed under the name Diatrichalus sp. A00055. Its description in RNAcentral is "partial tRNA-Ser". RNAcentral also lists the same sequence under 1 other name. Lineage: Eukaryota; Metazoa; Arthropoda; Insecta; Coleoptera; Lycidae. The record is from RNAcentral.